UACGGGGGGAGCAAGCGUUGUUCGGAUUUACUGGGCGUAAAGGGCGCGUAGGCGGCCUCCGCAAGUCAGUUGUGAAAUCUCCGAGCUUAACUCGGAAAGGUCAACUGAUACUGCGGGGCUAGAGUGCGGAAGGGGCAACUGGAAUUCUUGGUGUAGCGGUGAAAUGCGUAGAUAUCAAGAGGAACACCUGCGGCGAAGGCGGCCUGCUGGGCAGUAGCUGACGCUGAUGCGCGACAGCGUGGGGAGCAAACAGG
This 254-nucleotide ribosomal RNA is filed under the name uncultured bacterium. RNAcentral describes it as "partial 16S ribosomal RNA". It matches the Rfam family "Bacterial small subunit ribosomal RNA", at positions 524 to 776 of the family's 1533-position model. The record is from RNAcentral.